Molecule: unclassified non-coding RNA, 373 nt
Filed under: Hevea brasiliensis (rubber tree)
Lineage: Eukaryota; Viridiplantae; Streptophyta; Magnoliopsida; Malpighiales; Euphorbiaceae
Source: RNAcentral
GAAAGAUUAAGCAUGUGUUAUUAUAUUCCUUUUAUUGGUGUUUGUCAUUAAUCUUCUACUGUCGGCGGUCACCGGGAGGUGACGCAUGCAUGAGGGCGCCGAGGAUGAUACCAAGCGCCACCGAGCUUCAGGAAGCUGGGGUGCAAUUCAAGGCCAAAGAGAAGGCCAGAGGUUACUUGGACGUCACGUUCAAAGAUGGUGUAUUGGAGAUACCCAUGGUGCCAGUUCAGGCUGCGACCAUUCCGCUAUUUCGUAACCUCGUGGCGUUCGAGCAGUGCACCCCAGGAUCUGGGAGUGACUUCACUUCGUAUGUGUCUCUGAUGGAUAACCUUAUAGACACAUCAGAUGAUGUACUGGUGCUGGAGGAGUGUGG